RNAcentral lists this ribosomal RNA (495 nucleotides) under uncultured bacterium. Its description in RNAcentral is "partial 16S ribosomal RNA". It matches the Rfam family "Bacterial small subunit ribosomal RNA", at positions 28 to 507 of the family's 1533-position model. The record is from RNAcentral.
GACGAACGCUGGCGGCGUGCCUAAUACAUGCAAGUAGAACGCUGAAGGAGGAGCUUGCUUCUCUGGAUGAGUUGCGAACGGGUGAGUAACGCGUAGGUAACCUGCCUGGUAGCGGGGGAUAACUAUUGGAAACGAUAGCUAAUACCGCAUAACAGUAGAUAUCGCAUGAUAUCUACUUGAAAGUUGCAAUUGCAUCACUACCAGAUGGACCUGCGUUGUAUUAUCUAGUUGGUGAGGUAACGGCUCACCAAGGCGACGAUACCUAGCCGACCUGAGAGGGUGAUCGGCCACACUGGGACUGAGACACGGCCCAGACGCCUACGGGAGGCAGCAGGAGGGAAUCUUCGGCAAUGGACGGAAGUCUGACCGAGCAACGCCGCGGGAGUGAAGAAGGUUUUCGGAUCGUAAAGCUCUGUUGUAAGAGAAGAACGAGUGUGAGAGUGGAAAGUUCACAGUGUGACGGUAUCUUACCAGAAAGGGACGGCUAACUACGUG